GACGAACGCUGGCGGCGUGCCUAAUACAUGCAAGUAGAACGCUGAAGAGAGGAGCUUGCUCUUCUUGGAUGAGUUGCGAACGGGUGAGUAACGCGUAGGUAACCUGCCUUGUGGCGGGGGAUAACUAUUGGAAACGAUAGCUAAUACCGCAUAACAAUGGAUGACACAUGUCAUUUAUUUGAAAGGGGCAAUUGCUCCACUACAAGAUGGACCUGCGUUGUAUUAGCUAGUGGGUGAGGUAAUGGCUCACCUAGGCGACGAUACAUAACCGACCUGAGAGGGUGAUCAGCCACACUGGGACUGGGACACGGCCCAGACUCCUACGGGAGGCAGCAGUAGGGGAUCUUCGGCAAUGGGGGCAACCCUGACCGGGCAACGCCGCGUGAGUGAAGAAGGUUUUCGGAUCGUAAAGCUCUGUUGUAAGUCAAGAACGGGUGUGAGAGUGGAAAGUUCACACUGUGACGGUAGCUUACCAGAAAGGGACGGCUAACUACGUG
RNAcentral lists this ribosomal RNA (497 nucleotides) under uncultured bacterium. Its description in RNAcentral is "partial 16S ribosomal RNA". It matches the Rfam family "Bacterial small subunit ribosomal RNA", at positions 28 to 507 of the family's 1533-position model. The record is from RNAcentral.